Molecule: ribosomal RNA, 482 nt
Filed under: uncultured bacterium
Lineage: Bacteria
Description: bacterial SSU rRNA
Rfam family: Bacterial small subunit ribosomal RNA
Source: RNAcentral
CUACGUGCCAGCAGCCGCGGUAAUACGGAAGGUCCGGGCGUUAUCCGGAUUUAUUGGGUUUAAAGGGAGCGUAGGCGGACUGUUAAGUCAGCGGUUAAAGAGUGUGGCUCAACCAUACGAUGCCGUUGAAACUGGUAGUCUUGAGUGCACACAGGGAUGCUGGAACUCGUGGUGUAGCGGUGAAAUGCUUAGAUAUCACGAUGAACUCCGAUCGCGAAGGCAGGUGUCCGGGGUGUAACUGACGCUGAGGCUCGAAAGUGUGGGUAUCAAACAGGAUUAGAUACCCUGGUAGUCCACACAGUAAACGAUGAAUACUCGCAGUUUGCGAUAUAAUGUAAGCUGCCAAGCGAAAGCAUUAAGUAUUCCACCUGGGGAGUACGCCGGCAACGGUGAAACUCAAAGGAAUUGACGGGGGCCCGCACAAGCGGAGGAACAUGUGGUUUAAUUCGAUGAUACGCGAGGAACCUUACCCGGGCUUGAAC